This 395-nucleotide unclassified non-coding RNA is filed under the name soil metagenome. RNAcentral's name for it is "partial contains 5.8S ribosomal RNA, internal transcribed spacer 2, and large subunit ribosomal RNA". The stretch from base 1 to 122 matches the Rfam family "5.8S ribosomal RNA", at positions 35 to 154 of the family's 154-position model. The record is from RNAcentral.
GAUGAAGAACGUAGCGAAAUGCGAUACUUGGUGUGAAUUGCAGAAUCCCGUGAACCAUCGAGUCUUUGAACGCAAGUUGCGCCCGAAGCCAUCAGGUUGAGGGCACGUCUGCCUGGGCGUCACAUAUCGUUGCUCGAUGCCUAUCGCAUUGCGAUAGGACUUAGGGCGAAUGAUGGCUUCCCGUGAGCGUUGUUGCCUCGCGGUUGGUUGAAAAUCGAGUCCUUGGUAGGAAGCGCCGUGAUAGAUGGUGGUUGAGUGACGAACGAGACCCAAUCAUGUGAGACCCCUACCGAAUUUGGCCUUCAUGACCCACAUGCGUCUUUGGAACGCUCAUGACGAGACCUCAGGUCAGGCGGGGCUACCCGCUGAGUUUAAGCAUAUCAAUAAGCGGAGGA